AACGAACGCUGGCGGCAUGCCUAACACAUGCAAGUCGAACGAUCUCUUCGGAGAUAGUGGCGCACGGGUGCGUAAAGCGUGGGAAUCUGCCCUUGGGUUCGGAAUAACUUCGGGAAACUGAAGGUAAUACCGGAUGAUGACGUAAGUCCAAAGAUUUAUCGCCCAAGGAUGAGCCCGCGUAGGAUUAGCUAGUUGGUGAGGUAAAGGCUCACCAAGGCUACGAUCCUUAGCUGGUCUGAGAGGAUGAUCAGCCACACUGGGACUGAGACACGGCCCAGACUCCUACGGGAGGCAGCAGUGGGGAAUAUUGGACAAUGGGCGAAAGCCUGAUCCAGCAAUGCCGCGUGAGUGAUGAAGGCCUUAGGGUUGUAAAGCUCUUUUACCCGGGAUGAUAAUGACAGUACCGGGAGAAUAAGCUCCGGCUAACUCCGUGCCAGCCGCCGCCGUAA
RNAcentral lists this ribosomal RNA (449 nucleotides) under uncultured bacterium. Its description in RNAcentral is "partial 16S ribosomal RNA". It matches the Rfam family "Bacterial small subunit ribosomal RNA", at positions 29 to 523 of the family's 1533-position model. The record is from RNAcentral.